This 29-nucleotide non-coding RNA is filed under the name Rattus norvegicus (Norway rat). Lineage: Eukaryota; Metazoa; Chordata; Mammalia; Rodentia; Muridae. The record is from RNAcentral.
UUGUUGUCGUUGUCCUUUUGAGACGGGGU